Molecule: ribosomal RNA, 776 nt
Filed under: uncultured Neocallimastigales
Lineage: Eukaryota; Fungi; Neocallimastigomycota; Neocallimastigomycetes; Neocallimastigales
Description: partial large subunit ribosomal RNA
Rfam family: Eukaryotic large subunit ribosomal RNA
Source: RNAcentral
GUACACGCUGUGACUAGCAUAUCAAUAAGCGGAGGAAAAGAAACUAACAAGGAUUCCCCUAGUAACGGCGAGUGAAGCGGGAAGAGCUCAAAUUUGAAAUCUUAAAGGGUUUCCCUUUACGAAUUGUAGUUUAAAGAAGUGUUUUCUGUUGAGGUUUUGGUAAAAGUUCUUUGGAAUAGGACAUCAUAGAGGGUGAGAAUCCCGUAUUUGACCUUUACUUUCAACUUUGUGAUACACUUUCAAAGAGUCGGAUUGUUUGGGAAUGCAGUCCAAAAUGGGUGGUAAAUUUCAUCUAAAGCUAAAUAUUGGCGAGAGACCGAUAGCGAACAAGUACCGUGAGGGAAAGAUGAAAAGAACUUUGAAAAGGAGAGUUAAACAGUACGUGAAAUUGUCAAAAGGGAAGCGUUUGACACCAGUGUUGUUUUUCUGAAAAUCGAUUAAAGAACUGUUUAUGCUAAGCUGUUUAGACUUUAUCAGCUAAUCUGUUUAGUUUUGAGCUUUUCUUUAAUGCACUUUUCAGUUAACAAGUCAACAUCAAUUUCUUUUGCUGUAAAAAAGCUUGAGGAAGGUGGCUUGAGAUUCGUCUUAAGUGUUUAUAGCCUCUUGCCUAUGCAGUCGGAGAGAUUGAGGUCUGCAGCGUAGAUCCUUCGGGGCUAAAUGCAUUUGUGCUAAGUUAUAGCAUUUUAUAGACAACUUGUUGACUAUGAUUUGUCUUGUAGCUUACUCGCUUAUGUUAUUUUACCUACGCUUAGGAUGUUGAAGAUGUAGCACAUCAU